This 217-nucleotide long non-coding RNA is filed under the name Olea europaea (common olive). Its description in RNAcentral is "long non-coding RNA (OEUR_LNC007027)". The record is from RNAcentral. Lineage: Eukaryota; Viridiplantae; Streptophyta; Magnoliopsida; Lamiales; Oleaceae.
AGUAUUUGAAACCACAUCGACUUCAUCAUCAUUUUCCGGAGUCACAUGUACUCCUCUAUUCAAAAAAUCAUUUUCUAGCUGUCUUUCUUCCUCUGAUGUGUUUGGAAGCUGGGUGGAGGCACUACCUAAUCCUCCAAUAGCUAUAGUCCCGCUGAAUAUCUCCCCAAGAGUGUGGUAGUGCUUACAUCCUUCCCUCUUGAACAACUUGUAAUCCGAC